GACAAAAAAUAACGAUACGGGACUCAUCCGAGGCCCCGUAAUCGGAAUGAGAACAUCCUAAAUCCUUUAACGAGGAUCUAUUGGAGGGCAAGUCUGGUGCCAGCAGCCGCGGUAAUUCCAGCUCCAAUAGCGUAUAUUAAAGUUGUUGCGGUUAAAAAGCUCGUAGUUGGUUCUGCGUGCCACGCUGUCGGUUCACCGCCUGUCGGUGCAACUGGCAUGUCGUGGCAUGUCCUGCCGGUGGCGGAUAGGCUUCGCGGCGCUCCCUACUCGAUACGUCUUGUAGGUCGUCGCGUCGUCCUUGUACGCCGACUCAAUCCUACCGCGGUGCUCUUUACCGAGUGUCGAGGUAGGCCGGCACAUUUUACUUUGAACAAAUUAGAGUGCUUAAAGCAGGCUCUUAAAUCAGCCUGAAUAGUGGUGCAUGGAAUAAUGGAACAGGACCUUGGUUCUAUUUUGUUGGUUUUAGGAAUCCAAGGUAAUGAUCAAUAAGGACAGGCGGGGGCAUUCGUAUUGCGACGUUAGAGGUGAAAUUCUUGGAUCGUCGCAAGACGCACUAGAGCGAAAGCAUUUGCCAAGUAUGUCUUAAUUGAUCAAGAACGAAAGUUAGAGGUUCGAAGGCGAUCAGAUACCGCCCU
RNAcentral lists this ribosomal RNA (635 nucleotides) under Probergrothius sanguinolens. Its description in RNAcentral is "SSU rRNA". It matches the Rfam family "Eukaryotic small subunit ribosomal RNA", at positions 469 to 1021 of the family's 1831-position model. Lineage: Eukaryota; Metazoa; Arthropoda; Insecta; Hemiptera; Pyrrhocoridae. The record is from RNAcentral.